This 331-nucleotide ribosomal RNA is filed under the name uncultured Pseudomonas sp. RNAcentral's name for it is "bacterial SSU rRNA". It matches the Rfam family "Bacterial small subunit ribosomal RNA", at positions 1049 to 1382 of the family's 1533-position model. The record is from RNAcentral. Lineage: Bacteria; Pseudomonadati; Pseudomonadota; Gammaproteobacteria; Pseudomonadales; Pseudomonadaceae.
CGUGUCGUCAGCUCGUGUCGUGAGAUGUUGGUUAGUCCGUACGAGCGCAACCCUUGUCCUUAGUUACCAGCACGUUAUGGUGGGCACUCUAAGGAGACUGCCGGUGACAAACCGGAGGAAGGUGGGGAUGACGUCAAGUCAUCAUGGCCCUUACGGCCUGGGCUACACACGUGCUACAAUGGUCGGUACAAAGGGUUGCCAAGCCGCGAGGUGGAGCUAAUCCCAUAAAACCGAUCGUAGUCCGGAUCGCAGUCUGCAACUCGACUGCGUGAAGUCGGAAUCGCUAGUAAUCGUGAAUCAGAAUGUCACGGUGAAUACGUUCCCGGGCCUU